This 468-nucleotide ribosomal RNA is filed under the name uncultured bacterium. RNAcentral's name for it is "partial 16S ribosomal RNA". It matches the Rfam family "Bacterial small subunit ribosomal RNA", at positions 28 to 507 of the family's 1533-position model. The record is from RNAcentral.
GAUGAACGCUGGCGGCGUGCUUAACACAUGCAAGUCGAACGGAAAGGCCCGGCUCUUGCGGGUUUCUCGUGUGGCGAACGGGGGUGUAUCACGUGAGUAACCCCUCCUUGUCUUUCGGGGAACUUCACGAAACAGGGGCGAAUAUCGGGUAGGAUCUCUUGCUCCACGUGGGGGGUUGGAAAGUUUCGGCGGUUGGGGCUGGACUCGCGGCUUAUCCGCUGGUUUGGGGGGUAGUGGCUGACCAAGGCUUUGACGGGUAGCCGGCCUGAGAGGGUGACCGGCCACAUUAGGCCUGCGGUACGGACCAGACUCGUACGGGAGGCAGCAGUGGAGAGCAUUACGCAAUAGGCGGAAGCCUGAGGCAACGACGCCGCGUGCGGAAUACCGGCCUUCGGGUGGUAAACCGCUUUCGACUGUGCCGAGGCGUGAGUGACGGUAAUGGGUAAAGAAGCACCGGCUAACUACGUG